Molecule: unclassified non-coding RNA, 209 nt
Filed under: Hevea brasiliensis (rubber tree)
Lineage: Eukaryota; Viridiplantae; Streptophyta; Magnoliopsida; Malpighiales; Euphorbiaceae
Source: RNAcentral
GUAGAUUGGUAAAUCCGGUGGAUUUCUAAAUUGUUGAAUGAAUUCCAUUCUUCUCCCUUGGGUGGCCAUUCGGGUGCUUUUCGCACUUAUAGGCAGCUAGCUUCAAAUUUAUAUUGGCCUGGAAUGAUGAAAAGUGUUCAACAAUAUGUGGCUGAAUGUUUAACAUGUCAAGAAAAUAAAAUGAAGUAUCAUCACCUGCAGGAUUACUU